UGUGUGAACAUCAAUCUUUUUUGUACAAUUUUCAUUGAACAUAUUAAGAGGGGACUUCACAAUGUACACACAAAUAAUGUGUUUGUAUCAUCAAAUGCUCUUCUAAUUUACAACACUAUAAAAUAUAGCAGUAAAUGAGUGGGUCUUUAAAGAAAAAUGUGUCAAUUGACAUCUCCAAAUAAUAUGAACAGAAAUGGAUAUCCACGUUAAAAAAAAAACACAACACAAUAAUCACUUGAAUAAAAAUUUGCAUGUGGAAAAAAAUGUUUAUGUUUGGUGGAAUUCUGUCAAGUCCAUUUUAACUGAGUUACUGAUUUACAUAAAAAAAGUGUAAUGCAAAAUCACAUAGAACAGAAGUGAUCCUUUUUGUGUUGUUAGCUAUGCUGUCCCCUAAACAUAAAGUGUGACUUAAAAACUUUUUUCUUGUGGGUAGCCAGUUCACAUAUUUUUUUCAAAGUUGUUUUUAUUUAGAACUGCAAAAUAACAACAGAAAAUGCAAAAAUGAAAACUUGCAUGUUAAAUUUUGGCAUUAUAGUAUGCAGCAUUUACUGAAAUCACAAUUUAGUCUCACAAUUUUGUCCAUUCUUUAGAAAUCAAUAAGAAGUGCAAAAAUUUCUGAUUUAACACUUACGUCAAUUACUGUGGGGUCAUUAUUAUUGGUUGGAUACCAAUUUUCGUGGAUUUCCUGGAUUCAGGUAAACCAUGAAAUAAAUUAAUCAACCAAUGACAAAUUUUCUAUUAGCUUGUAUGCAGACCUGGGAAAAACCACAAAAUUUAAUAUCCAUGAACAUACAAGUUUUCCUUCCACAAAAAUUGGUACCCAGGAAAAAUAAAUGAAUCCACAGUGAAUCUUUAAAAGUAAGACCACUUUAUAUGUAGAUAAAGUUUCAUUUCAUUAACUUUUUUAGGAAAAUAAAGAAAUAAACAAUAUUUGAAUGUAAAUUUAUGAAAGAAAUAUCAUUAUAACUGUAUAAAUUAAGAAUAGUUAAGAUACACUGAUCUCUUAAAUGCUGAAUUAUCCAAUGAAAUAUACUAAUCGUUAUUAGUCCUUUCAACCAAUCUUCCUCUUUAUAUCCACUGGCAUUCAUCUGACAUAACGUCACCAAACUAUCAACAACAUUCAGAUUAAUUGUACCAUUACAAGUACACAGAUGAUCACAUUUAAACUGUUUUGACUUAUAAAUGACAAGUGAUAAAAGCUUUUUAAGCCAUUUAAAGACGAUAUAUUUAUCCAUAUUAUUAAGCUCUGCCAUGAUUGUCUUAUGUGGUUUUCGCCCGUAUUGCAGCUCUCUUUCCUGUAACGGCCUGGAAACCAGAUUUGAUGCUAGCGACAGAGCAUCGAGAUCCACAUGUUUCACACUGUAGAAAGAAAAGUCUAGUAUCUUUUUGAAGCAACGUGUCAGGUGACCUACAGGUAUGACAGGUAACAUACUCUUCUGCAAAUAAAAAUAUAGUCUCAUUAUAUUAGAUCAUACUUUUAAAAUUGC
This 1487-nucleotide long non-coding RNA is filed under the name Mytilus galloprovincialis (Mediterranean mussel). The record is from RNAcentral. Lineage: Eukaryota; Metazoa; Mollusca; Bivalvia; Mytilida; Mytilidae.